This 331-nucleotide ribosomal RNA is filed under the name uncultured bacterium. Its description in RNAcentral is "bacterial SSU rRNA". It matches the Rfam family "Bacterial small subunit ribosomal RNA", at positions 568 to 898 of the family's 1533-position model. The record is from RNAcentral.
UUCGUAGGCGGUGCGGCAAGUUUGGGAGUGAAAUCUCUGGGCUCAACCCAGAGGCUGCUUCCAAAACUGCUGUGCUUGAGUGUGAGAGAGGCUCGUGGAAUUGCAGGUGUAGCGGUGAAAUGCGUAGAUAUCUGCAGGAACACCCGUGGCGAAAGCGGCGAGCUGGAUCACUACUGACGCUGAGGAACGAAAGCUAGGGGAGCAAACAGGAUUAGAUACCCUGGUAGUCCUAGCCCUAAACGAUCAGGACUUGGGGUGCCGCCCGUUCGGGCGUCGUCCCGGAGCUAACGCGUUAAGUCCUGCACCUGGGGAGUACGGUCGCAAGACUGAA